AUUGAACGCUGGCGGCAUGCUUUACACAUGCAAGUCGAACGGUAACAGGCCGCCAGGUGCUGACGAGUGGCGCACGGGUGAGUAAUGCAUCGGAACGUGCCCAGUCGUGGGGGAUAACUACUCGAAGGAGUAGCUAAUACCGCAUACGAUCUAUGGAUGAAAGCGGGGGACCGUAAGGCCUCGCGCGAUUGGAGCGGCCGAUGUCAGAUUAGGUAGUUGGUGGGGUAAAGGCUCACCAAGCCAACGAUCUGUAGCUGGUCUGAGAGGACGACCAGCCACACUGGGACUGAGACACGGCCCAGACUCCUACGGGAGGCAGCAGUGGGGAAUUUUGGACAAUGGGCGCAAGCCUGAUCCAGCAAUGCCGCGUGCAGGAAGAAGGCCUUCGGGUUGUAAACUGCUUUUGUACGGAACGAAACGGCUCUGGUUAAUACCCGGGGCUAAUGACGGUACCGUAAGAAUAAGCACCGGCUAACUACGUG
Molecule: ribosomal RNA, 482 nt
Filed under: uncultured bacterium
Lineage: Bacteria
Description: partial 16S ribosomal RNA
Rfam family: Bacterial small subunit ribosomal RNA
Source: RNAcentral